RNAcentral lists this ribosomal RNA (506 nucleotides) under uncultured bacterium. RNAcentral describes it as "partial 16S ribosomal RNA". It matches the Rfam family "Bacterial small subunit ribosomal RNA", at positions 29 to 523 of the family's 1533-position model. The record is from RNAcentral.
AGUGAACGCUGGCGGUAGGCCUAACACAUGCAAGUCGAACGGCAGCACAGGAGAGCUUGCUCUCUGGGUGGCGAGUGGCGGACGGGUGAGGAAUACAUCGGAAUCUACUCUGUCGUGGGGGAUAACGUAGGGAAACUUACGCUAAUACCGCAUACGACCUACGGGUGAAAGCAGGGGACCUUCGGGCCUUGCGCGAUUGAAUGAGCCGAUGUCGGAUUAGCUAGUUGGCGGGGUAAAGGCCCACCAAGGCGACGAUCCGUAGCUGGUCUGAGAGGAUGUUCAGCCCCACUGGAACUGAGACUCGGGCCAGACUCCUACGGGAGGCAGCAGUGGGGAUUAUUGGACAAUGGGCGCAAGCCUGAUCCAGCCAUACUGCGUGGGUGAAGAAGGCCUUCGGGUUGUAAAGCCCUUUUGUUGGGAAAGAAAUCCAGCUGGCUAAUACCCGGUUGGGAUGACGGUACCCAAAGAAUAAGCACCGGCUAACUUCGUGCCAGCAGCCGCCGUAA